Molecule: ribosomal RNA, 465 nt
Filed under: uncultured bacterium
Lineage: Bacteria
Description: partial 16S ribosomal RNA
Rfam family: Bacterial small subunit ribosomal RNA
Source: RNAcentral
CCUACGGGGGGCUGCAGUAGGGAAUCUUCGGCAAUGGACGAAAGUCUGACCGAGCAACGCCGCGUGAGUGAAGAAGGUUUUCGGAUCGUAAAACUCUGUUGUUAGAGAAGAACAAGUACGAUAGUAACUGUAAGUCCCUUGACGGUAUCUAACCAGAAAGCCACGGCUAACUACGGGCCAGCAGCCGCGGUAAUACGUAGGUGGCAAGCGUUGUCCGGAUUUAUUGGGCGUAAGGCGAGCGCAGGCGGUUGCUUAAGUCUGAGGUGAAAGCCCCCGGCUCAACCGGGGAGGGUCAUUGGAAACGGGGAGACUUGAGUGCAGAAGAGGAGAGUGGAAGUCCAUGUGUAGCGGUGAAAUGCGUAGAUAGAUGGAGGAACACCAGGGGCGAAGGCGGCUCUCUGGUCUGUAACUGACGCUGAGGCUCGAAAGCGUGGGGAGCAAACAGGAUUAGAUACCCCGGUAGUC